This 11221-nucleotide long non-coding RNA is filed under the name Marmota monax (woodchuck). The record is from RNAcentral. Lineage: Eukaryota; Metazoa; Chordata; Mammalia; Rodentia; Sciuridae.
UAUGAGCAAUGAUUGUUCAAUGUCUUCAUUUCUUCAUAGAUUGGAGCAUAUGAUCAACAAAUAUGGGAAAAAUCUGUUGAACAAAGAGAAAUCAAGGUAACAAGUUUAUUUCAUUUUGUUUGUUUUGAAAUAUAAUUCUAUGAAUUGAUUAUGUGUCACAUUUUAUUUAAUAUCUUUUUAUAUACUUUUAAGGUAUAAAUUAAUAUUAUUAUUUAUUCUUUAAAUAAGAAGUAAACUCUUUUUUUAAAAACAGCAUAAUCAUGUCUUUACUGCUAAUUAUUUUUUGAGCUUUUUAGCAUCUUUCCAUUCUUUUAAAAUUUAAUUUCUAAUGGUUAUUUUUUGUUAGCUUUUUUCCCCUUUCACUUUUCACCUUAUACUUCUAGUUUACUUUUCCUCCCUUAUGAUGCUGUCAUUGCUCUGUACAGUUUAUUAAACUGGUAAGUGUUUUAGGAUUUUUCCCGCCUGAAUGAUCCUGUGCAAAUGCUGCUCUGCUUGAGAUCUGCUUUUGGUGCUACUAACAGAAUGACUUGGACGCAAAAAGAGUCGCUGAAAAGUUGGUCAUUUUUGAAAAGAAUUUAGAAAAAUAAAACAUUAAUUAAAUAUCUUCAUAGUAAGCAUUUUCUUCUUGAACAUGCAGCUACCUCAUAUGUUGAUGUGAUAUUCUCCUAGGCUGCCUUGCUGGCAUGAAAACUAUUUUUAAACUAAAUUUGUUGUUUCUCAGCAUUUUUUUUUUCGAUAAUAAGAUUUAUAUAUUUUUUUUCAUUUGCAAAGAUACUAAUCAGUGUGUUCCUGCACGAGCUAAAUUUAAUUUGGGCCCUACCAGAGUCUGUUUAGUUUACUUGACAUUCUGUUUUAUAGAAAGGUUUAUGUUACAGUGAAAACUAGGUCUAUAGAUAUUUCACAAUCUGUUUUUUUAAAAAGCUGCCAAUAUUUAACUAUAAUAAAGAGCAAGAUUCUUUGACAUUUGUUAAUUUUAAUCUUUACACUUUUUUUUUUAAUGAAGAUUUGAUACAUUUAAGGGUGGGGCAUGUAGCUCAGUGGAAGAGCACCUAUUUAGCAUGUGAAAAGUGCUAGGUUCUAUUCCCAGCACUGCAAAAUUAAAAGAAUGAAUACACUUAAUAAAGUUGUUACGCGUUAAAUAUAGGAUUUAAGUCAGGAGGAUAGAAAGAUGAGGUCGGUUACAGUUUUGUAGGUAAGAUAUGUAAUUGAAAAUGAGAUAAAUUCAGAGACACUUGUGUAAGUCUCUAUAGGGAAUGCAGAGGGAGGCAGCCCUGGGGAGGUUAGGAGAAAUUUAAUAGAGGAAGUAGUUCUUGAACAGAGUUUGACAGACUUUGGGGAGGCAAAUGGUAAAGACAUUACAGACUGAUGAAGAACAUAUGAAAAUAUAAAGAAAAGAAGAAACAUGACUGAAUCAGGAAUACUCAAAGAGUUUGACUUGGAAAUAGAUUGGAUUGAGGAAGGAUUUAAGGAUGAUUAUGCAUAAAACUAGAAAAGAAAAUGGAAGUUAAAUAAUGAAGGGUCUUGAAUACCUAACCCAAGAAUUUAGACAUAAUCUUGAAAAAAGUGGGGUUGACACUGAAAGAAUUUUUUUAAUUGAUUUUAUUAUAUUUUUAGAAAUACACGACAACAGUGGAAUACAUUACAAUCCUUAUUACACAAACAGAGCACAGUUUUUUGUAUCUCUGUAUACAAAGUAUGUUCACAUCAACUUAUGCCAUUAUACAUGUACUUUUUUUUACUUUACAAUUCUUAAUUCACAUAUAUACCACAAUUUUUCAUAUCUCAUGUUUGUAUAUAAGGUGUGUGUUUUUAAAAAUUGUGUUGACAUGCAAUUCAAGUCUUUCUAUUUAUUUAUUUAUUUAUUACAUGACAAUAGUGGAAUGCAUUAUAUUCAUAAUUAUCCAUUCACAGCACAAUUUUUGUAACUCUGUAUAUAAAGUAUGUUCACGCCAAAUUAUGCCAUUAUACAUGAGCUCUCUUUUUUUGCAUUACAAUUCUUAAUAUACCUUUAUAAUACAAUUUAUCAUAUCUCUGAUUGUAUAUAAGGUAUGUUGACUCCAAAUUCACAUCUUCAUACAUGUAUUUUGUAUAAUGUACUUUGUAUAACGAUAACCAUUACAUUCCACCAACUAUUUUUCUUAAGCAUUUUAGAAAUUAUAACUAAAAUUUAAUUUUAUUCUCUGAUCACUUUGGCCCAAAUUUAAAAGUAAAUAUAUAAAAAGAAACUCUGGUGUGCUAUUUCAUAGUUGCAGUUGCAUGAUUAUAGAUAACAGUAAUGUACUGUAUAUUUUAAAAAGCUAGAUGAAAGGAUUUUGAAGGUUUUUACCAUAAAUGUUUCCCCACACAUGUUUGGGGAAAUAGAUAUGCUUACCCUGAUUUAAACGUUGUGCAAUCUGUGCAUGCAUCAGAACAUCACACAGUAUCCAUAAAUCUGUGCAAUUUUUAUGUGUUGAUUGAAAAAAAAAAAGAAACUUAAAUGCAGAAUUUCCCUCAUAGCUCCUAGAUUUUAAAAGCUUCAACAAAAAGCUUAUGAAAUCUUUAUUUAUUGACAGAGGAAAAAGGAGAUGGAGGGGAGAAAAGGAUUUCUAGAAAGUGAAACUGAUAUUUCUGUCCUUGAUGGAUUCUAAGUAUUACAGUAACUCCAUGCAUAGGAAGUCUACUUACUAAUAAAAGAACUUUAUAAACUUAAGCAGCCUUCGUUAAUUUUGGAGGUCAAUAUUAUCUGUGUAUUUGGGGAUUUUUAAAAAAUACACAACUUCAUAGUAUUUGAGUCACUGCACUAUGGAAAACAAACAUACUAUGAGUUUAAAUGUACAUUCAAAAAAGAAUAUUUCAUUUUGACUCUAGCAUGUUAAUUACAUUUAUACUGUUUGUUUCUGUUUUCUACUUUGUGCAUAAAUGAGUAGUUUCAAAAAUUUCAUUCUUUUUUUUAAUUUCAUUUUUUGUUUGUUUGCUUAACUUUGUGCAGGUUAUGAUUAUAGCUAGGAAUACUUUGUCUGAAUGCAGUUUACCCCAAAUCAAUUUAAAAUUUUCCAACUUAAAAUGUCUACUUAAUUAAAAUCAUGUUUUAUGAAUACUCACAUCAUUGUUGCCCCCAACGCUAAGGAUUGAACCCUGGGCCUGGGGCAUGCUAGGCAAAACUCUACCACAGAGCUAUAUCCUCAACUCCAAUAUUUUUCAUUUUUGUGACUAAAAUUAUUAAUUUUCAAUUUAUCAAUGUAAGUUUUUACUUUUUAAAAACCCUUUAAAUAUUCUGAUAGACUCCCUUGAAAGGGAAGUUUUACUGAAACUGGCCGUUAAGGUGUGGCUCUAUAAUAUAGCUCAAAAUAAAUGUUUUAAUAGAAUGUAAAAUAGGAAAUGAACCAAGUAUAUACAAGGUCAAGUAGAAUGAGCAUGUUGAAAACCAGCAUAGUUGUGUAAAUCAAGACCAUUUACUGUUUUUCUGGUUAGUUAUUAAAAGACUUUCUGAUAAAAAUUUUAGGUUUACAACAAUAAACUAUGUCUCAGAUUAGUCAGAAAACACUGGCAAUAAUGGUUAUUCUAAAGUUAGAGAAAGACUUAUGAUAGAAGUAAAUGUAAACAUAUUGCUGUUUUUUUUAAUUCUUGGCACAAUAAAGGUAAAAUUCCAUAAUAAUAAACUUUAUACCAAAUCAAAACAGUGCUUUAUUAAUGAAAUUUUGUUUAAAUGUAUGUAUUAGAAUUGUCUUUCCAGUUUGCAAAAUCUUGUAAAUGAUUUAUAAUCUGUUAGCUACCCUAUAGUUACAUCAAAAUGAAAGUAAAGUACAGAAGCAAUGGAUUCUCAUUAUUCAUGGUAAUUAUAUUCUUGAAAGUCACCACAAACACUGAAUUGGUGGUGAAUACUGAACCAUUGCUCCUAAGGGAAAUAGGUUUCUCUAAGCCUUAGGUCAUAACACCUUUGUCAACUGAUGAGUAUAUAACUUUGUUUUAUGUAUGUUUCUGUGUUAAGAUCCCUUAUUUAAUAUACAUUGUUGAUUUUUAUUAACAAUAAACUUAUGACCAGUAAUGCUAUAAGUCAGGUUUAAAAUGGAGGUUAUGCUGGCAUGGUGGUACAUGCUCAUAAUCCUAACAAUUUGGGAGGUUGAGGCAGGAGGGUCACAAGUUCAAAGCUAGCCUCAGCAACUUAGUGAGGCCCUAUGCAAUUUAACGGGACCCUGUCUCAAAAUGAAAAAUAAAAAGGGAUGGGAAUAUGGCUCAAUGAUUAAGCACCCCUUGGUUAAAUCCUGGCACUGUAAGUGAAAGAACAAAUAAAUAAAUAAAUGGAGCUUAUCUGACACACAUUUUCUCUGAAAGGCACAUCACAGCUUUCUUGCACUUAGGAACACUAGACGGCACUGCAUGGUGUAUGGGGUCAUUUAAAAAAAAAACUGCCAAUAAAAAGCACAAAAAUGUGAAGAACAAAAAACUAAAACAGACUGGAAAGAGAACUUGUUUACAGUAAUGAGAGCUCAAACAAAAAGGCAGAGUGUUGCCUUGUAUGGCCUCAGCUGAGAAUGUGCAUAUUGGGAGCCUAAAAAUUUUUUCCACUCUGCAAAUAAGGGCAAAAGGACUAAACAUAUGGAUUUAGGGAUACGAGUAACAAUAAGUGUAUUUGCAAAUAUAGAAUCUGAGAAUGUAAGGAUCAACUAUCUAUAUAUUGCUUUAUCUUCAAACCUGACCCCCCACCCCCUUUUUGUUUUGUAUCUUUGGGUAGUUUGCAACUUUAGUUGUACGGAGCAUAUGAAAAAGUUCAAAGGUUAAUUACAUCUUGAAGUCAGGGUACAUUAUUGGUUUAGAUGUAUAAGUUCUGACCUUAAAUACUGCCUCUGGUUUUAGAUGUAAACAGUUCUUAAAUCUGAUUUUAACUUUAUUGUUCAUUGUUACUUGGAUUAGGACCAAAGAAAAUAUUUACUGCAAAGUUGGUUGUUUAAUUGAAUGUCUUCUGAGGAAUUUAACCUAAGCUUACAAUUCUUAACAUAUUAGGUCUUAAGUAAUAACAUAAUUCAUUUUUCCCCACUAAUUUUGACCACCCCCACCCCACCCCUGCACUCUCUACACUGAAAGCAGAAAUUUAAUUUUAGCCAGUGGUCAAUAAUUUCAAGUUUAAAUUAAUUCAAUUCACAAAAACUGCCUCUUCUUACGUUGGCAUAUGGACAUAGUGCAACCCUAAGAUGUACAUAAUCCUCUCUGGGGCUCAGCUGAUACCCCCAUAACAUGCUAGCAUUUGCUGAGAAGUUUACAUCUCUGUCUAGUUCUUAGCUCUAUGAUUUACUGCUUCCUGUAGCAACACCUCAACAUCACAUCUUGAGGGCCUUCAGGGCUACUGCUCACCCCAUCCUGAACCCUCUCCUGAUGACAAUCUGGGGCCAGUGUAGUCUCUUGAACCAUCUAGACUGUACACCCAAAUUUGCUUGGUGUAGUCAUAAUCUUUGUAUUAAAAUUUUACUAUUAGUAAUGAACUGUCUUUGCAUGUUACACAAAUCCCUAAACAUAUCCUUUUAGAAAAACAAAUUUAUUACAAUACUGUAAUUAUGUUCCACUUGUAACAAAUGCAAAAUAUAUCUUUUUGUUUGGUGUAUUACUUAAAGAUUUUAUAUUAAAUUGAAAUCCUUAGAAGUUAAUUCUUUUAUGCUGUUCUAGACUAAGAGAUUAACAUGUACAAAUUUCAGUACUACUAUUUAUAUAUUGCAGGGGUUAAGAAAUAAACCAAAGAAAACAGCACAUGUGAAACCAGACCUCAUAGAUGUUGAUCUUGUAAGAGGUGAGUCUUCAAUAAAUAAAUGCUUUAUAUAAGGAGACAUUGACUUUGAAGAAGCAAUUUUAAAAUAGGUUAGAUAUAUACACUUUUAGAAGUAAAAGCAGUUUGAGCUGACAUGAGAACAGGAAUAGCAUAAAAAAGAGAGAAUGGAAGAUAAAUACCUUUGAGUAGCUUUUCCUCCCACUAAAUAUCACUGAAAUAAGUAUAAAAGAUAGCAGUUCAUGUUGCUUAGCAAAGCAUAGCACUUUGUUAUAAAAAUUAAAGUGGCAAUUUGUAAUUCCUAACUGAAAUUGACAUUUGAAUACUAUAUUAUAUUUAUAAAAUAUGUGGGAAAAAUUCUAUUAUUUCAACUAAUAAUCUUUUUCAGAGUAUUUGAGUUAUCAUAUUAAGAUACUAUGAUGAAUAUUUUUUAAAGUGACUACUCCCUAAAUUGGAUGUUUCUUACUUGUAGUACAGAAUAAAAUUACACAUGUGUGGUUUUUCAAACAGUGACAUUUUUUUUCUGUAGGGAAAUAAAUGUAGUCUGUCAUUGUAUUUUACCUUUUUUUCAGGGUCUGCAUUUGCUAAGGCAAAGCCUGAAAGUCCUUGGACUUCUCUGACCAGAAAGGGAAUUGUUCGAGUUGUAUUUUUUCCCUUUUUCUUUCGCUGGUGGUUACAAGUAACAUCAAAGGUCAUCUUUUUCUGGCUUCUUGUCCUUUAUCUUCUUCAAGGUAUAAUUAAGUGAUGGAAAUGCAAUUUGCUUUUAGCUUUCAGGGAUGUUAUAUUUUUAGAUUUACUAAAGGCUUUGUUCUAAACAUAUACUAACUACUACCUAGAAUGAAGUGAGUAUGAAUAUGUUAACAAGAGAAAGCUAGUUUAGUAUUAAAAAUGUUUGAGAAAAUAAGGCAGUAUUUUCCAAUAUGAUUAUGCAAAAAUUUAAAUCAGUGUAUGGCUAAAGAAUUUUCUUUUUCUUUCUUUUAUACUGGGGAUUGAACCCAGGGACACUUUACAACUUUACAGUCUAUUUACAGACUUUACAGUCUAUUUAUUAUUAUUAUUAUUAUUAUUAUUAUUAUUAUUUUAUUCUACUUAGUUGUACAUCACAGCAGAAUGCAUUUCAGUUUGUACACAAAUGGAUUGCAACAUUUCCCUUCUUUGGUUGUAUACAGUGUAGAGAUGCACUAUCCGUGCAAUCAUAUGUGUACCUAGGGUAAUGAUGUUCAUCUCAUUCUACCAAAAACUUUUUUGGUGCUUCGCAUUAGAACCCACAGCCUUGUGCAUGUGAGGCAAGCACUCUCCAACUGAGCUAUAUCCCAACCCCCAACCUUUUUUAUUUUUUAUUUUGAGGCAGAUUCUUGCUAAGUCACUCAAACUGGUCUUGCAGUCCUCCUGCCUCAGCUCUGGAGUUGCUGUGAUUAUAGAGGUACACCACUGCAUCUAGCUAUGAGGGGAUUUUCUAAAGUUAAAAAAAAAAUCUUUAAAAUGCAUCUGCCGCCAUAUGUACACACACACACAGAAGUCUUUUUUUUUUUUUUAAUACAACCUAUGCAAGUUCAUUUUUCCUGCCUAAAGCAUGGUUCAUUUUUCUGUACCUUUUACUAUGGUGAUCUGAACUAGCCUCAUUCUGUAUUGAAAUUUUAUAUAUCGUGCACUGAGUACUUUGUCAGAUUAUUACUUAAUUCUCACAGUAACCCAAUGAAAUAUAUUUCUAGCUUAUAGAUAUGGGACCUGAAAGAUCUGCAAAUUCAAAGCCACACAAUCAACAGGUGUAAUAGUGUACACCUACAACUCUAAGUCUUCUGACUCAGAGCCAGACACUAACAACUCAGUUACACUGCCUCCCAACACAGCAGCAUUCUAGUGCACAAUCAUAGCAUCAUUAUACAACAUGACAUAUAUAGUAUUACAGACUAUUUGGAGACUAACGAAGAAACAACUCACAUUUCAUCCCAUUAACAAAGCAAUUAUUUUAAUUUGGUUGAUGAUAUAAAAUAAUAUGAAAUUUGGUUGAUAAAUAAAAUAAGAAAAGCUUGUCUCUUUAAUGUUACCUUAAAAAAAUUAUUUCAGUCCUGAAUGAUUAUUUCUAUAUGUUUGUCAAUGGAUUCUAUGUAAGAUUCUUGAUACAUUGUAAGUAAAUGAAAAUAAAAAUUAGACUUAAAAGUUGUUUCUUCUAGCCCAAGGGGCGUGUGUGUGUGUGUGUGUGUGUGUGUGUGUGUGUGUGUGUGUAGACUAUGAGGAUUUUGUGAUUGUUACUAGAAUUUUUGUUUUGUUUUGCAUUGUAAGGGAAUGAACCUAUCCCUCCCACAUUCUAGGCAAGUACUCUACCAAUAAGGUAAACAACAGCCCUGUUUUUUCUGAUUAAAGAUAUUUGUUCAUGGCAGAAAAUUUGGAAAUAUAGAAAAAACUAAAGAAAAAAAACCUAUUCAUAAUCUUGCCUUUCAGUUUACCUUAUAACAUUUUUAUAUUGUUGAGAGUACUUUGCAAAAACAGUUUUAUAUAAAUGUAAAUAUAUAUAUAUAUAGAGAGUCUAAUGUCAAAGUGUCAGUCUAUGUGUAUGAUUUUAAAUUACUAGAAAGCAUCUCAUUGUACAUCAGUAUUUGGCAUUUAAACUGUUUGCUCUCUUUUAUUAUUAUAAUUCUGAAGUAAACAUUUAUGAAGCUUUUCUUAUUUUAUUUUCUUAUUGUAGAUUCUUAGAGUGUAUGAAAUUCUAAUUGUUUUUAAAAUGGUGAUAUUUUUGUUAAUGCUUUCCAUGACAGUUCUUUUAAAUUUUUCUGAUCAAACAUUUUCUGGGUAUUGUUACCUGAUAUUUUGUUAAACUAAAUGUUGACUUAUAUACAUCAUCAUGUUUACCCAUGAAUACGAUAGGCAUUUCAUUGUAAUAUGUACAUUACAAUGAUCACACUUAACAAAAUGAACAAAAUGUCCUAAUAUUAAAAUUUUCUGCUUAUUCAGAAUUAGAUACUCAUAGACACUGGUUUCAGGCAUGGCUGGAUAUGAAGGCUCAGAUGAUGUCUUUACUUGUUUUCUGUUGACUCUGCUUUCCUUGCUGGUUGUACUCUUAAGUUGGCCCUUUCUAGGUGAUGGCUAAAGUGGCCACUGACAACAUUUCCGUAAUCCUUAGUAUUUGUGAUCUAGGAGAAUAGCCUUUUUAAAGCAUCUAUAUUAAUACCUGAAGAAGAUUCUGAUCACCCCUGCUUAGGCCACAAGCCUUUAAAAAUUAUUUAUUUAUUUUUAUUAUUAUUACUCCUAUGCCCAGAGUUAUUAAUUUGUGGCAAGCCUAGUUUUUUUGCCCAUGCCUGAGGUGGGAGAAAUAAGACUGUUUCAGUGACAGAUAAAGGAGGGAGACCCCCAAAAGGUAGAGUUUAUAUUCAGAAAAUCUAAGGGAUGCAGGGCAGGCAAAAACAAGAUUUCUCCUUCAUGUGGUAAUUGUUACAUUUAUGUUUAUUGUUUGCUCUGGAAAAUAUGCCCAAGUAAAUUUAUGCUAUUAAUUUUGUAUACAUAGACCUUUGUUUAUAUGCUUUUUAUAGCCAUAUUACACACUUAUUAUCAUUAGACUUCCUUAUUUGUACUAAAAGUUAGUAUGAUUCUUUUUAUUUUCUGUCAAUUAUCUAACCUGGAAUGCCUAUAAAUUUGUAUGCAUCUAAUUUUCUUUGUGGUGUUGAGGUGUGUACUUCAGAGAUGAUAUUGAGUGUUAUCUUAGUCUAAGAGUAAAUUACUAAAUACCAUGAUUAGGCUAUGGCAAACAAGAAAAUAGUCUAAAGAGCUAUGUAGAGUAACAUUUUAAAUUUAUUUAAAUGUGGAAAAAGAAUCUGGCAAGAAGUAAUGUAAGAGCAGUUUAAAAAGUUUUGAAGAAGUGACUGUCAGAUCUAUAAUUAAAUAUAUUUUCUCUCCCUUUUUGUAGUUGCUGCAAUAGUAUUAUUCUGUUCCACUUCUAGCCCACAUAGUAUACCUCUGACAGAAGUGAUUGGGCCAAUAUGGCUGAUGCUGCUCUUGGGAACUGUGCAUUGCCAGAUUGUUUCAACAAGAACACCUAAACCUAUAAGUACAGGCGGUAAAAGAAGAAGGUACUGUCUAUUGAAAAGUGAUCUUUUUGGGGGGUAAAUUUAUGUAAUUUGAAUCCAGGAUUAUUCUUAACUAUUCUCAUUACCUUCAUAGAAUAAAAUGUUGUCUUAUAAAAUUGUUCUUUCAAAUAAAGUACUGAGUUCUCAGAUCAAUUAACAAGCAAUUUAUAUUCUUUAUUUACUUAAAGGUUAUUUUGAAACCACAUGCCUGUGUUUUUCUUAAUUGUUGUUUUCUUAAAAUUCAUUUCCAGUCACCUAAGAACAAUAUUGGGAAUGUGUUAGCUGGAAUUGCUAAAAAUUCCUACUAAUUAGAAAAUUUUGUAUUUCUAAGAUGGCUUGGCAAAAAUAACAGCCAAAAAAAAAGAAAAGAAAGAAAAAGAAAUUUCAGCUAGGCUCUAUUCUCUAAAUGAUGUUUGAAGCUGUAUGAUAUUGCCCUUAAUUAAGUAUACAUAGAAGCCCAGUGUGUUGUCACAUGCCUGUAAUCCCAGCAAUUUGGGAAUCUGAGGCUAGAGAAUCACAAGUUCAAGACCAAAGUAAGCAACUUAGUUAAACCCUGUCUCAAAACAAGAAAUAUAAAAGGGUCAGGGAUGUAGCUUACUGGUAAAUUACCCCUGGGUUCUUUACCCUGGGUUCAAUACCAAGUGCUAGGGACUGGGGGCGGGGGGGGGGGAAUUAAACAUAGCAAGUCUCACAAAGCACAAUGGAAUUUCUGUUUUAAUGGUCUUUUGGAGAAUCUUCUUUUGAAUAUUGUUGAUUAGAGAUUGUGACAUUUGCAGUUUUUGGGUAUCGAGAUUUAAACUCAUCUCAUUUUUUAAAGAUAAUGCCUAUGUCAGAUAAAUAGCUUUGUUGAUUAGUUAGAUUAUAAUUCUCUCCAAUCUAAAUUUUCUUCUUUCUUUACCUGCAGAUAAGUGACAUUCAAAUAGGGAAGAAAUAACUUUUGUAAAUACCUGUCCAGUGUGAUCCUUACAACCUUUUGCCACUGCCCUGUCAGGAUGAGCAAGGAAAAAUACCUUACUAUUUAUAGAAAUUGGUCUUGAAUAUGCACUAUGAUAUUUGGAUUACAUUUUAUUUAGUAAAUUUGAAUUUUAUUAUUUAUCAAAUUUUCUAUGUUUAUGUUUUCUAAAAUUUUGAAUGUACUAUCGAGAAAGUGGUUGUUAAAAUUUUAAAGCUACCUUCUGCUCUUUAAUUUCUUCCUUGAUGAAGGAAAUUAAGAAAAGCAGCCCAUUUGGAAGUACAUAGGGAAGGAGAUGGUUCUAGUACUACAGAUAACACACAGGAAGGAGCAGUUCAGAGCCACGGUACAAGCACCACUUACAGUGUUGGCGCUGUCUUCAGAGAUCUCUGGCAUGCUGCUUUCUUUUUAUCAGGGUUUGUAUUUAUUCAAGGCUUUCUAUGGCAUAGAGCUGCACUAUCCCUUUUCUGCUAC